This 468-nucleotide ribosomal RNA is filed under the name uncultured bacterium. RNAcentral's name for it is "partial 16S ribosomal RNA". It matches the Rfam family "Bacterial small subunit ribosomal RNA", at positions 28 to 507 of the family's 1533-position model. The record is from RNAcentral.
GACGAACGCUGGCGGCGUGCUUAACACAUGCAAGUCGAACGGUGAAGCUCCAGCUUGCUGGAGUGGAUCAGUGGCGAACGGGUGAGUAACACGUGAGCAACCUGCCCCUGACUCUGGAAUAAGCGCUGGAAACGGCGUCUAAUACUGGAUACGAGAAGGGUCCGCAUGGACACUUUCUGGAAAGUUUUUCGGUUGGGGAUGGGCUCGCGGCCUAUCAGCUUGUUGGUGAGGUAAUGGCUCACCAAGGCGACGACGGGUAGCCGGCCUGAGAGGGCGACCGGCCACACUGGGACUGAGACACGGCCCAGACUCCUACGGGAGGCAGCAGUGGGGAAUAUUGCACAAUGGGCGAAAGCCUGAUGCAGCGACGCCGCGUGAGGGAUGACGGCCUUCGGGUUGUAAACCUCUUUCAGCAGGGAAGAAGCGAAAGUGACGGUACCUGCAGAAGAAGCACCGGCUAACUACGUG